This 4763-nucleotide long non-coding RNA is filed under the name Homo sapiens (human). RNAcentral's name for it is "non-protein coding lnc-KIF26A-5:5". Lineage: Eukaryota; Metazoa; Chordata; Mammalia; Primates; Hominidae. The record is from RNAcentral.
GUCUGUCAUGUCCAGCCUGUGAAGAGCACGCUGGCUGAGCUGGCGAGAGGGGUGGGGGCGUCCUGGGGCUGCUUCUGCUCUGAUGAAGGCACCCACUGUCACUGUCCCGGCCCUCGCUGAGUGUUCCCGGACCCGUGGGCCCGCGUCUGUGCCAGGCCUUGGGGAGCUCCAGCCUCGGAGCCUCUUCCCGUUCUCAGACCUCAGUGCGAGGAGGAAAUCGGGUGCCUAGUGGGGCACUACCUGUCUGGAAGUAUUUUACACGAAGUUUAAGCCUUGAGAUUUCCUGGAGCAGGACCUCUGAAGUCACCAUCACAAAUGGCAGGCCCACACAAGGACUGAUUUACUUCUGACUCACCCAUGGCCUUCAGGCUUAGAGUUGGGGCCUUGUCGGAUUCCUCUCUCUUACCAACUCUGGGCUUUGACUCUGUUGUCCCUAAUGCCAUGCUGAUAAAUAAUUAAUAACUGGCUCUUCAUAAAAAAAAACAGUUUUGAUCUGUAGCACCUGCCAAUUCCCAUGGUGUAAACACUCCUGCCAUGGCUGACUUCAAGUUACCAACACAACAUCACUGAGUGUGGGAUUGGAAAAAGAUGCCCAUGGCUGGCUCUUAAGAGUCCUCUGAGCCUUGCUGGUUCUCCCUCACCUGCCAUUGAGGGGGCUGAUGGGUGCAACAGUCAUUCCUGAGGCUGCAAAGUUCUUUAAAGCAGAAGCAGCUGACUCUUGCUUAUGUUUUGCAGUACUUGCUGGGCUCUCAACUCCUCCAAGGUUUUGGCCUGGUAGUGCAUUCUUUGCUACCUGAUUUGCUCUUUUCUGCUUUAAAGAAGAUUGGAAAAAAAUUUUUUUUUUGAGACAGGGUCUCACUCUGUCACCUAGGCUGAUCGUGGCUCACUGCAUCCUCCACCUCUCAGGCUCAAGGGAUCCUCCUACCUCAGCCCCCCAAGUAGCUAAGACCACAGGUGUGCGCCACCACAUUAGGCUAGGUUAUUAUUAUUUUUUUUUUGUAUUUUUGGUAGUAGAGACGGGGUUUCUCUAUAUUGUCCAGGCUGGUCCUGAGCUCCUGGCCACGAGUGAGCCACCCACCUUGACCUCCCAAAGUGCUGGGAUUAUAGGCAUGGGCCACCAUGCCUGGCCAAUUGAAAUAUUUUAAUCCAGCUUUUCUAGUUGUGUUCAGUGGAAGAGUUGGUCCUAGUCACUAAUCUGCUACUUAUGGACAGAGACAUCUCCUAUUUUCUGUUGUAAGGACAGGAAAAAGCAGAAAAUAUAGAAAAGGAAAUAAAGAGCAACCAUCUCUCAAUAGUACUGCUGCCCAACAAGAACACUGCUGACAUUUGGAAACUGUUUUCCAAUUUGAUUCUUAUUGGAAAGCAUAACAACCAGCCAGGGCCUGUGCUGCUGGAGCGGGCAGUUAUGUGCAGGGAGACAGCUGGUUACGGCUGGCUCCUGGCCUCGACGGAGCUUCUCAGCCUCUUGGAGCCUCUGUCCCCUCAGCUGCUGAAGGAACACAUCUCCUGCACUUCUCAAGUUGCUGCCGGUGCGAAGGUGACUCCAGAUUCUGCAGUUUGGGCUCCGUAGCUGCUCAGCAAAUGUCAGCAGGUCCAGAAGCAAGGCUCCUCAGCUGCAGAGUGAAUGCAAAUGUCCCCAUUGUAAAUGGCCGUGGGGCCCAGGGCUCUGCAACCUUGGAUGCCCAGGAUCAGACCAGCUGUCCGCCGCUUUGGAAUCUGGGUUUAUGGGGGACCCGGGCCUCAUAAAUGUCAAAGCGUGCAUUCUCGGCAGUCCAGGAGUCGGAAAACGUGUCUCUGAGGGGAGCAUUCCUUCCAUGCACACAGCUGCCUGGCUCACGUUUUUAUCCUCGAGCCAUAAUUAGUCCUUUCCCCUGACCCUGAAUUCCUGCCCCGGCCAGAAGCAUGCUGUGGCCCUGGGGCCCGCGGCUCCUGGUGGUCGGUGCCCCUUCUGCUCUCCUGCAGCUGCGGCAGGUGGAAGAGCUGUCGGGGGUGGGAAGGGGGCUUGGAGGGAUAAGGAUGGGCUGGGGAGGGCUCCCAAGGCAGUGGACACUGUGGGCUCUGGGGACUGCAUGGCUGUGGAGGGGGCAUGUGCUGUUGGGCUCCCAGCCUCUUGGGGUCCUCUCUGUGCCAAGAUAGAGCCUGUUACCCUCCCUGAGCAGGUGUGAGCAGACACCUGUCCCCUGCCCUGCAUGGGAAGUGAACGAUCCACUAAGUGGGGAGGUCAGGGUCAGAUCCCCGGCCUUCCCAUGCAGGAUGACUGCUCAGGCCCAGGACAGUGGGUGGUCAACAGAAACCCCAUCCCUGCCCAUAGAGGGUGCUUCCCAGUUCACAGUGACACAGCCUGGCCUGCUCCUCUUCCAGCCACCCAAGGCAAGACACAGAGCAGGAGGCUGAGGCUGGUGUGAGGGAAAGGGGGAUGCAGCAAGGGGAUACCUCAACCUUGCCCGAGCUACAGACAGGUGAGGACUUCUCCCUCACCUGGUGUUUUCCACUGCAUUCUGAAGAGCAGGUGACACCCACCCCAGGGUGGAUCCAGGAUGGAUCUCUGGGUUUCCUGCCAUCUACAAUGACCCUCCUCAUUUCCCCUGGCUAGCUGCCCCCUAGGAUGGAGAAUGCAUCAUGGUCACUGACACUUGGCGCCCUUUUCCAGCCUCAAUGGCCUGGCAGAGCCAGUGGGGACACAGCAAUAAUGUGGGUGGCAGUAAUAACAGCAGCUGAACCACCUGAGCACCAUCCUGACGAGGCAUAGCCUGAGCUCUGUGAACAGUGAAGUCCAUCUGGUCUCUCAGUGGCCUGAGAGUGACUCUAACUAUUAUCCUCAUUCUCUGAAGGAGGAAAACAAGGCAAGGGGAUUUAAAUAAUUUUUAAAGGUCAGAUACCUUCACAAAGGCUGAAGUGGGAGUCAGAUGAUAGUGUCUGGGUGGAGACCCCAUACUCUUACCCUCAACUCUGAGCCAUCUGCUAUACAACAUCUAUUUGCUGAGUGGAAGGUGUGUAGCCUGAACCAUGCUCACUUCUGGUCCAGAGCUCUUUCCUCAGGGCCCUGGGACAUUCACGUUUAGUGUACAGUGGUAUAUGUAUGCUGAAUUCCUACAUUAGGCCAGCCACAUAGUCAGCACUGAUUGCUAAAAGAAUAACUGAAUAAGGAUAAAUGCUUGAGGGGAUGGAUACCCCAUUCUCCAUGAUGCGAUUAUUUCACAUUCCCUGCUUGUAUCAAAACAUCUCAUGUACCCCAUAAAUAUAUACACCUACUAUGUACUCACAAAAAUUAAAAAUUAAAAAAGAUACAAGUUAAACAUCUGGCCAGUUAUAAUGAUAUGAAAAGUAAUAAGGACAAAAUAUAAAUAAAAGAUUAUAAGCAACAAUAGCAAAAAGCAUAAUUGGAUAAAAGGAAAAAAAAAUCCCAUUCCAUGAUGAAGAAACUAAGGUUCUAGGGAGCCAGGAAGUGGGGUCCGGGCUCCUGGCUGAGCUCUUAACCCAGAGCCCUAGCAGUUACAUUUUCCACAGAAGGACAGAAUGAGCACAUGGGAGAGGCUUACUUGAAGUCCCCUUGCCAUCAAGGGGCAAGGGUGGCACCUACCUCUCUUUGGGCAGGGCCCUGAUCCUGCUGGAUGGGGGCUGCCAGGGCUGCUGCUGAGCAGACUCCUAGGCUGAUUCCUGGACCUGAUUUUCAUUGACGCUGCAAAGACCUCAGCAGAGCGCCUUUGCGCCCUGAUGAGAUUGACACACAGCUCAAACACACUGCAUCCUUGUGGGGGUGGAGGAGAUGCACAGACCCUGGCAGAAUGCAAGAGAAGCCUGUUUAAUGUGUCGACAGGAAGUAUCAACCUGCAGCAGAAUUGCAAUGCAGUCUGUCCUGGGAGGCCAGGGGCUGGGCAGGCGGGGCAGGCGUUUGCCUUGCCUCGUGGGCCACUCCCAGGAUGACUCCUAGCCUGGCCAGGAUGAAGGCUUUGGCCAGCGUUGACGCUGUUUCCCAAUGCAGAGAUCACUCUGACACAGGCCAGCAUUGCCUCGGAGGUGGCCCAGAGCUGGGCGGGAGGGAGACAGGCAGAUAGCAGGGAAGAAUGAGCCAUCUCUGUCCCCUCAGCUGGGGUGCCCAGAUUCAGAGGUCUCAUGGUGAUGGCUGCCUUCCUGGACCUACUCCUGGUUGGGCUCAGAGACUGGUCCAGGGAAGGGCCUACACAGCACUCUACAGUGCAAGAGAUGCCGUCUUGGCCCUGGGGCCUUUGAGAGUCCGCCCCUCCAGAGGAGCUGGGGCCACAGGGUGCCCUGGCCGGGGAGUCAGGAGGCCUGCAGUGCCAGGGCCCUCUUGCUGGCCGUGGGGUGUGUGCCACUGUGAGCGAGCGGAAGUGUGUGCAUGUGUGAGUGGGUGAGAGUGUGUGUGUUGUGCAUUGAUGUGAGUGUGAGAGUGUGUGUGUCCCCGAGGAGGGGACAGAUGUCUAUGGGAGGGCUCCGCUCUGGACUGAGAGCACAAGUCUGUGAGUCAGGACCUCCCGGAGCCGUGGUCCGGGGCUGUGUGCUUGGGGUGGUGAGAGGCCCCUGGCACCUCCAGCGGCUCCCAGUCCUGUGUGGGUCCUGCAGCCUGUGGUGCACAGGGCAGUGGGGAAUGGUCCUGGGGGCCACACGAAGCCUUGGGGAAGUGCUGCAUUUCCAGGCUGCAGAGGGCUUUGGGGUGCCGACUGCUGAACGAGGGGCUCCCUGCACUGCGGUCACCCUGUGGCAGUGUCGGGAUGGGAGGACAGGGCCUUUGGGGGCUGCUGGGC